Molecule: ribosomal RNA, 403 nt
Filed under: uncultured bacterium
Lineage: Bacteria
Description: bacterial SSU rRNA
Rfam family: Bacterial small subunit ribosomal RNA
Source: RNAcentral
GAUGAACGCUAGCGGCAGGCUUAAUACAUGCAAGUCGUGGGGCAGCAUGAGUGUAGCAAUACAUUUGAUGGCGACCGGCAACGGGUGCGGAACACGUACACAACCUUCCUUCAAGUGGGGAAUAGCCCAGGGAAACUUGGAUUAAUACCCCGUAAUAUUAUGGAGUGGCAUCACUUUAUAAUUAUAGCUCCGGCGCUUGAUGAUGGGUGUGCGCCUGANAGGUAGUUGGCGGGGUAACGGCCCACCAAGCCUUCGAUCAGUAACUGGUGUGAGAGCACGACCAGUCACACGGGCACUGAGACACGGGCCCGACUCCUACGGGAGGCAGCAGUAAGGAAUAUUGGUCAAUGGACGCAAGUCUGAACCAGCCAUGCCGCGUGAAGGAUGAAGGCCCUCUGGGUUG